AAUAGAUACCCAGGUAGUCCAUGCCGUAAACGUUGGGCACUAGGUGUGGGGCUCAUUCCACGAGUUCCGUGCCGCAGCAAACGCAUUAAGUGCCCCGCCUGGGGAGUACGGCCGCAAGGCUAAAACUCAAAGAAAUUGACGGGGGCCCGCACAAGCGGCGGAGCAUGCGGAUUAAUUCGAUGCAACGCGAAGAACCUUACCAAGGCUUGACAUACACCGGAAAAGUGCAGAGAUGUGCUCCCCGUAAGGUCGGUGUACAGGUGGUGCAUGGUUGUCGUCAGCUCGUGUCGUGAGAUGUUGGGUUAAGUCCCGCAACGAGCGCAACCCUCGUCCUAUGUUGCCAGCACGUGAUGGUGGGGACUCAUAGGAGACUGCCGGGGUCAACUCGGAGGAAGGUGGGGAUGACGUCAAAUCAUCAUGCCCCUUAGGUCUUGGGCUUCACGCAUGCUACAAUGGCCGGUACAAAGGGCUGCGAUACCGCGAGGUGGAGCGAAUCCCAAAAAGCCGGUCUCAGUUCGGAUUGGGGUCCGCAACUCCG
Molecule: ribosomal RNA, 538 nt
Filed under: uncultured bacterium
Lineage: Bacteria
Description: bacterial SSU rRNA
Rfam family: Bacterial small subunit ribosomal RNA
Source: RNAcentral